GAUUUAUAUAAAUUCAAGCUUAAGAGCUAGAAAGCUGAACAUAAAUAGCCCUCAAGCCAGAAAGAAGCUGAAUAUUUUAAAAUUUGAAUGGUUUAAAUAGCUGAAAAUGGGAAGCAGUUGAAAGGGGGCGCGGAAGAAAUAUAAUAACUAGAAAAGGCAUUUCCUGCUGAAAAUGCGUUGGAAUGCAAAAAGCUGAAAGCUGCACUGAAUAUUUGAAAAUAGCUGAAAAUACAGAAAGUUGAAGGGAAUUUGAAUACAUUUGCUGAAAUGACAGAUAUUUGAAAAGCUGAAAUGAAUUUGAAAUUGCUGAAAAUACAGAAAUGGGAGAAGCUGAAAGGAAUUUCAAUAGAUUUGCUGAAAAAGCAGGAAUGAAAACAGCUGAAAUAAAUUUGAAAUAUUGCAAAAAAAUACAGAAAUGAAUAUUAAAAAAUUGCUGUUGAUAGAGGCAUAAGAAUAGCUGAAAUUAUUUUAAAGAACUGCUGAAAAUACAGGAAGUGGGGGAGCUGAAUUUCAAUAGAUUUUCUAAAAACAGAAGUUGCAGGAAGCUUAAAUUUGUUUAAAAUUGUUUGUAGUAAUAUUAGUACUAGUAUUAGUUAUAAUUGUGGUAUUAGUAGUACUAGCAGUAUAAGCAGUAAUAGUAGGUUUAGUAUCAAUAGCAGUAGAAACAGCUGUAAUACUAUUAGCCAUAGUAGUAUUUGUAAUAACAUUAGUAGUAGUUGUAGUAUUAAUAGCAGUAGAAAUACUAGUAGUAUGGUAGUAGAAGUAUCAGUUGUAGUACUAGAAGUACGAGUAAUAUUCGUAGUGGGAGACAGAAUGUUUGUUAUUCACACUUAAAAGUUUUUAAUUAAUAGGCCUCAUCACAGACAUUACAGUAAAAAUUCCCUCCAUGGGGCUUUUAUUUUGAAAUGAUUGGAUUGGGUGGGGUGGGGGGGUGUAGAUAGAGGGAGGGAGGCUGAGAGGGUGAGGAAGGGAAUGGUGGUGAGGAAGAGAUAGAGGGAGAGAGAGAGAGAGGAGAGAUAGACAGACAUACUGACUGAGAGUGAUUAACAGUGAGAAGGGGUCAGGGUGGAGGGGGGAGGGGGGGCGAGUGUCUUUAUCAUAUUGGUCUGUUGACAGAAAGCAUAGCUGCGUCAUGUGACUCCACUAAUCAG
Gasterosteus aculeatus aculeatus (three-spined stickleback) is the source of this 1151-nucleotide long non-coding RNA. The record is from Ensembl. Lineage: Eukaryota; Metazoa; Chordata; Actinopteri; Perciformes; Gasterosteidae.